UACGAAGGGUGCGAGCGUUGUUCGGAAUUAUUGGGCGUAAAGGGUUCGCAGGCGGGAACUUAAGUCAGGUGUGAAAUCCCCGGGCUCAACCCGGGACGUGCAUCUGAAACUGAGUUUCUUGAGUACUGGAGAGGGCAGUGGAAUUGCUGGUGUAGGAGUGACAUCCGUAGAGAUCAGCAGGAACACCGGAGGCGAAGGCGACUGCCUGGCCAGAUACUGACGCUGAGGAACGAAAGCGUGGGGAGCAAACAGG
This 253-nucleotide ribosomal RNA is filed under the name uncultured prokaryote. RNAcentral's name for it is "partial 16S ribosomal RNA". It matches the Rfam family "Bacterial small subunit ribosomal RNA", at positions 524 to 776 of the family's 1533-position model. The record is from RNAcentral.